AUUUCCUCCUGUGGUUGCUCUUGCCCCGCCCCUUAGCGUAGCGUAGAGGAAAAGACGCCGUGGGCCGCUCUGGCAUCUUGGAGGACUUGUCCUCUGUGUCGGGCGGCGUGGGGUUGUUCCGGUCUGUCGUGAGGUGCAAGUCCGGUACGUCUUUCUAGCUGCUUCAGCUCCGGAUUUUUUUUGGCGAUGGGACAUCAGAACGUGUGGAGGCUAAUGUCGAGGUAAGUGCCAAGGGCAGCUCAUCACCU
Molecule: long non-coding RNA, 248 nt
Filed under: Marmota monax (woodchuck)
Lineage: Eukaryota; Metazoa; Chordata; Mammalia; Rodentia; Sciuridae
Source: RNAcentral